AUGAUUAUCUGUAGCUUUCUCCUACAAAUGUUUAAGCUUAGUGUUCGUUCAUAGUUUCAAAUUGUCAUGCUUCAUCUUCAAUUACCUUUCUUGCUUACUAUAUGUUUAGUUAAUGGAUUUAUGAAGAACUUCUUUUAUCUAAGAAGAAUAAAUGAGUUUAUGUUGGCUACUCUAUAAGCAAUAUGGAAAUCAUUACUACUUGAAAUUUGUUUAUGCUAAAGGAAAGUGGACUUUGUUGUUCGUAAUAGUGCAUACUCUUUGGGAGAAUUGUUACACAUAGUGCAAGUCAUGUACACUCUGUAGACGGCGAGAACUAUAUUGUUGAGGGAUGAAGCGUAUGAACUUCAUAUUCAAAAUAUCUGCCCAAUUUCUCCAUUUCUCAUAGGGAACCGAUGAAUGAAUUUCUUGCUAACUGUGGUUUACUCUCAUGCCGAGAAACCACAA
Solanum stenotomum is the source of this 444-nucleotide long non-coding RNA. RefSeq lists it as uncharacterized. The transcript has 3 exons. NCBI's taxonomy places the organism in Eukaryota, Viridiplantae, Streptophyta, Magnoliopsida, Solanales, Solanaceae. The record is from RefSeq and is a predicted model, not a curated record.